This 260-nucleotide ribosomal RNA is filed under the name uncultured bacterium. RNAcentral describes it as "partial 16S ribosomal RNA". It matches the Rfam family "Bacterial small subunit ribosomal RNA", at positions 793 to 1055 of the family's 1533-position model. The record is from RNAcentral.
GUCCACGCCCUAAACGAUGUCAACUGGUUGUUGGACGGCUUGCUGUUCAGUAACGAAGCUAACGCGUGAAGUUGACCGCCUGGGGAGUACGGCCGCAAGGUUGAACUCAAGGAAUUGACGGGACCCGCACAAGCGGUGGAUGAUGUGGUUUAAUUCGAUGCAACGCGAAAACCUUAACCUACCCUUGACAUGUCUGGAAUUUGCAGAGAUGUGAAAGUGCUCGAAAGAGAGCCAGAACACAGGUGCUGCAUGGCCGUCGU